UAAACCAACUAACAAAUGUUGUUUUGUUGGGUAGUUCAUUGUAAUCAUACAAUGUGAUUUGCCUAAAAGCAAAUAAACGAGAGAUAGAACUCAAAGAAUGGGUUCUUUGAGAGACAAGAAAGUAAUCAACAAAUAUAAACAACCUAGUUCCUAUACCACAAGCUCCAAGGUAGUCGAGAAGGAUUUAUAAACCGUCUCAGUUGAAUGGUUUGAACUUUAUGACUAUGUCAUAGAGUUGCACCUCUUAAUUCGAAAGAAAUAAGAAUGUAAAUCCUUAUGACUACAUUGAGUGCAUAUACGAUAUAUACUCAUGGGAAUGGUAAAGUACCAUUUGACCCGAAAUAAUGAAACCUUCAUAAGCUAAUUGGUAGCUUAAGGUGACUACAAUCAAAUAAAAUGGUUGACUUUGAAGGAACCAUUUUUGACGUAGUCUUAGUUUCAAUUAAUUCGAAGAUUGCUAGCUACAACUAAAUGGUGAUUCAAUGUUUGGACAUAAUAUGGGUUUCUGAAACCAUUAUUAAGAUAGUCUUGAUAAUAUAUGUCUAAAACUAUGAAUCACAAGACAUAUAAGUUGUAGAGAUCCAUCCAUCAUGGAUCUUAGCAAGCUAGUGGGAGCUGUAAGCGUCUUAUAAGAGAAAGGUCAAAUUGUUUGAUUUCUCAUAAAGAUGUAAAUGAAUCUUUUGUUUACUAGUUUUACAAAAGAUUAGUGGGAGUUAUUCAUAUUCCUAAAUUUGUAUAUAUAUAUAUAUAUAUAAAUAUAUAUGUGAUAUAUAUGAAUAUAUGUAUGAUAUAUUAAUUUUGGAA
RNAcentral lists this long non-coding RNA (804 nucleotides) under Malus domestica (apple). RNAcentral's name for it is "long non-coding RNA (MDOM_LNC005956)". Lineage: Eukaryota; Viridiplantae; Streptophyta; Magnoliopsida; Rosales; Rosaceae. The record is from RNAcentral.